UGGGGAAUUUUGGACAAUGGGCGAAAGCCUGAUCCAGCAAUGCCGCGUGCAGGAAGAAGGCCUUCGGGUUGUAAACUGCUUUUGUACGGAACGAAACGGUCCGCUUUAAUACAGUGGGCUAAUGACGGUACCGUAAGAAUAAGCACCGGCUAACUACGUGCCAGCAGCCGCGGUAAUACGUAGGGUGCGAGCGUUAAUCGGAAUUACUGGGCGUAAAGCGUGCGCAGGCGGUUUUGUAAGACAGAGGUGAAAUCCCCGGGCUCAACCUGGGAAUUGCCUUUGCGACUGCAAGGCCUGAGUGCGGCAGAGGGGGAUGGAAUUCCGCGCGUAGCAGUGAAAUGCGUAGAUAUGCGGAGGAACACCGAUGGCGAAGGCAAUCCCCUGGGCCUGCACUGACGCUCAUGCACGAAAGCGUGGGGAGCAAACA
Molecule: ribosomal RNA, 427 nt
Filed under: uncultured bacterium
Lineage: Bacteria
Description: bacterial SSU rRNA
Rfam family: Bacterial small subunit ribosomal RNA
Source: RNAcentral